This 597-nucleotide ribosomal RNA is filed under the name uncultured Bacilli bacterium. RNAcentral describes it as "bacterial SSU rRNA". It matches the Rfam family "Bacterial small subunit ribosomal RNA", at positions 143 to 728 of the family's 1533-position model. Lineage: Bacteria; Bacillati; Bacillota; Bacilli. The record is from RNAcentral.
AUAACUAUUGGAAACGAUAGCUAAUACCGCAUAACAGUAGAUGUUGCAUGACAUUUGCUUAAAAGGUGCAAUUGCAUCACUACCAGAUGGACCUGCGUUGUAUUAGCUAGUUGGUGGGGUAACGGCUCACCAAGGCGACGAUACAUAGCCGACCUGAGAGGGUGAUCGGCCACACUGGGACUGAGACACGGCCCAGACUCCUACGGGAGGCAGCAGUAGGGAAUCUUCGGCAAUGGACGGAAGUCUGACCGAGCAACGCCGCGUGAGUGAAGAAGGUUUUCGGAUCGUAAAGCUCUGUUGUAAGAGAAGAACGAGUGUGAGAGUGGAAAGUUCACACUGUGACGGUAUCUUACCAGAAAGGGACGGCUAACUACGUGCCAGCAGCCGCGGUAAUACGUAGGUCCCGAGCGUUGUCCGGAUUUAUUGGGCGUAAAGCGAGCGCAGGCGGUUAGAUAAGUCUGAAGUUAAAGGCUGUGGCUUAACCAUAGUACGCUUUGGAGACUGUUUAACUUGAGUGCAAGAGGGGAGAGUGGAAUUCCAUGUGUAGCGGUGAAAUGCGUAGAUAUAUGGAGGAACACCGGUGGCGAAAGCGGCUCU